This 112-nucleotide ribosomal RNA is filed under the name uncultured bacterium. RNAcentral describes it as "partial 16S ribosomal RNA". It matches the Rfam family "Bacterial small subunit ribosomal RNA", at positions 1373 to 1482 of the family's 1533-position model. The record is from RNAcentral.
CCCGGGCCUUGUACACACCGCCCGUCACACCACGAAAGUUGGCAACACCCGAAGCCAGUGGCCCAACCCUUUUGGGAGGGAGCUGUCGAAGGUGGGGUGAGCGAUUGGGGUG